Astatotilapia calliptera (eastern happy) is the source of this 1424-nucleotide long non-coding RNA. Lineage: Eukaryota; Metazoa; Chordata; Actinopteri; Cichliformes; Cichlidae. The record is from Ensembl.
UCCUUUUUAUAUUUCUUGCUCAUGUGGAGAACAUAUUUGAGUCAUGGCUGAGGUUAUUGCAUUUUUUUCUGCACUGCCAUGUUGUGAUGCUACAGAGGACAAAAAAACACCGGCUGAAACUGAUUGUGCAAAACUUCUCUUGCGGUUAUACUGCAAACCUGAGGUUUAAUAAUGUGCAAAACCAGGAUGUGGUACCAGCAGGUUAAAAUGAGUCAAAACUGUUUGGAACGGCGUUCCGACACCUUUGGAUAUUGAGCAAUUAAAUCUAAUAGACAGAUUAAUGCGUAUUACUCUCGAAUGAGUAUAUUUAUUGUGUGUUGCAGCUUGGCAUUUCUUCCAGUGAUGGCAUGGAGAUACUUGCAUAGUAAGAAGAAAAUAAUGUAUAGAUGAUGAAUAGAAUCUUAUUUUGUAUUUUGAUCGCUUGGAUUUUAUAGUUGUCACUAUAAGAGUAAUAUUUUGUUGAGGGAUAGAAAUUGAGAACUGUUUUUUUUUUCCAGAGUACCAGUUCCCAGUUAACCAAUUUCUUGGAAUUUUUUGUCUCCUUGCUUAUUGGUUCAAUUUUGUUCCUCCGCUAAAAAAUUUCUACAAUUUCAGUUCAGUGCAGUCUUGAGUGUGGAUAUGGACAUUACCUUUAUUUUUAUUGUACAAAAGGAUCAGAGUGCAAUGGUAAAGUGAAAACAACUGUAUUAUGCUGCUAACACAGCUUCAGCUCUUUGCAAGCAACUCCACAGACAGCAUGCUAACUCUAAGCUAGACAAGAACCCAGAGUGACAUUAAAGUUGAGUGUUUGCUCACCUCAGUCCAGCAGCCAGACUCUGAACUUCAACAGGUAACAAACUGAUGAGCAGUCAGGCUGCACCUCUGUACCUGUACAUUUUUUUUUUUUUUUACAGUAGAUUUACUUUAGUCUCUUUGUGUGGGGUUUUAUUUUUGGCCUGAGCUGCUGGCUUAAGAGAAAGAUUGCAUGUGUUUUCUCAUUAUGUAAUGUGUUUUGUGUAAUAUGUGCAAUACAUUUCUUUUUUGAGUAAUGACCCCAACUCUGAUCACAACAACGAGGGGAGAUACCUCCAACAGGCAUAAACAUUUGGCCACACAGCAUGCAAUUAGUUUGUACAAAUGUAAUGUCUUUGAUAUGCUGCUUAGCGAUGGUCGUGACUCUCUAAGUAGAGCCAACCCUAUGAACCCUAUGAGAAUCGAUAAUGGAAUCAGAAUGCUAAAUCCUUAUCUAUUCCCAGCCCUAAUUUUGCUACCGCCUGAUUACAUUAUGCAAUUCAGUUUUAUUUACAAAUGUCUUCCUGAAUUUAAAACAAUUCCAGUGCAAAUUGUUUAAAGAUUUUUGGUUCUUAUCAUUAUUUUUCCAGUGUCUCAGCCUUCAAGUGUGAUGCAAUGCUAUGGCUUGUGGGAGUGGGAGUGUACAAUUAUAG